Molecule: ribosomal RNA, 490 nt
Filed under: uncultured bacterium
Lineage: Bacteria
Description: partial 16S ribosomal RNA
Rfam family: Bacterial small subunit ribosomal RNA
Source: RNAcentral
GAUGAACGCUAGCUACAGGCUUAACACAUGCAAGUCGAGGGGCAGCGGGAUUGAAGCUUGCUUCAAUUGCCGGCGACCGGCGCACGGGUGAGUAACGCGUAUCCAACCUUCCGUACACUCAGGGAUAGCCUUUCGAAAGAAAGAUUAAUACCUGAUGGUAUGAUGAGAUUGCAUGAUAUCAUCAUUAAAGAUUUAUCGGUGUACGAUGGGGAUGCGUUCCAUUAGGUAGUAGGCGGGGUAACGGCCCACCUAGCCAACGAUGGAUAGGGGUUCUGAGAGGAAGGUCCCCCACAUUGGAACUGAGACACGGUCCAAACUCCUAAGGGAGGCAGCAGUGAGGAAUAUUGGUCAAUGGACGAGAGUCUGAACCAGCCAAGUAGCGUGAAGGAUGAAGGUCCUACGGAUUGUAAACUUCUUUUAUAAGGGAAUAAACCCUCCCACGUGUGGGAGCUUGUAUGUACCUUAUGAAUAAGCAUCGGCUAACUCCGUG